This 292-nucleotide ribosomal RNA is filed under the name uncultured bacterium. Its description in RNAcentral is "partial 16S ribosomal RNA". The record is from RNAcentral.
GGACUACUAGGGUAUCUAAUCCUGUUUGCUCCCCACGCUGUCGCGCAUCAGCGUCAGCCUCACCCCAGCAGACCGCCUUCGCCACCGGUGUUCUUCCGGAUCUCUACGCAUUCCACCGCUACACCCGGAAUUCCAUCUGCCUCUAGUGAGCUCGAGCCGAGGAGUCUCGACGGCCGACCCGGGGUUGAGCCCCGGGCUUUCACCGCCGACUUCCUAAGCCGCCUACGCGCCCUUUACGCCCAGUGAUUCCGGACAACGCUCGCACCCUCCGUAUUACCGCGGCUGCUGGCAC